Molecule: long non-coding RNA, 619 nt
Filed under: Marmota monax (woodchuck)
Lineage: Eukaryota; Metazoa; Chordata; Mammalia; Rodentia; Sciuridae
Source: RNAcentral
GCUGGGGUUGUGGCUCAGCUGUACAGAGAUCGCCUACCAUGUGCUAGGCCCUGGGUUCGAUCCUCAGCACCACAUAAAAACAAAUAAACAAAAUAAAUGUAUUGGGUACAAAUAAAAAAUAAAUAUGUAAAAAAUAUUUUUUAGUUGUUGAUGAGCCUUUAUUUUAUUUAUUUGUAUGUGGUGCUGAGAAUUGAAUCCAGUGCCUCAUGAAUGCUAGGCAAGCACACUACCACUGAGCCACAACUCCAGGCCCCUUGCAACUUAUUUUUUAAAUGGACAUGUUUCUUUCUCUUCCUCUUCCCCUAAUCUCUCCCCCUCUCUAAUCUCUGGAGAAACAGGGUCACCUUUCUUCCCCAUCCUAGGCAGAGUUAUCUGUCCCUGAGCACACACCCACCAUAGGAACGAAGUAACCCAGACUUUGGGGAUGGCACCAGAAGACCUCAGAAAUGACUACCUCCCAAAUUAACAAGUGAAUCACACCUCCAGACAGAGAACACGUGGAAUGUAGCCUUUGAGUCACCUCUUUAAAAGCCCCCCUGUUCCUGCUGAUGGGCAGAAUCACAACAGCCUCUGAGACAGGAAUCCCCUGUGUUUCUCCUUUGCUAGCAAAGCAAUAAAC